Molecule: long non-coding RNA, 1264 nt
Organism: Lagenorhynchus albirostris (white-beaked dolphin)
Lineage: Eukaryota; Metazoa; Chordata; Mammalia; Artiodactyla; Delphinidae
Exons: 3
Source: RefSeq, a predicted model, not a curated record
UCGGGAAAGGGAGUGGCAACGGGUUUUGCCUAGUCAUCGCCUGCGAAGACUCGCGUCACCUCUGAUGUCAGGGCUUCCAGAGGCUUCGUUCCAGUUCCGGGCUCCAGGAAAGAGCGUCGCGGGGCGCAGAGGUUACACAACUUCCCCCAAGGUCGCGUCGGAAAGGACCCGCAGGGCCGGAAUUCGAACCCGCCUCAGCGGGCACGUACCCGCCUGCACGGUCCGCAGGUGGCCGGGCUCCGCGUAGCAUCCUUUCCAAACCCACCGCACAGCCCGCGCCAGCCUUGGCCUGGCUUCCUUCUUUCUCGUCUCUCAAAUGGUCUUUCACGGUGUCUGUGUGGGUACAGAUGAUCAAAGACAGAUGAUGAUCACAGAAAAGCAGACCUCUGCCCCCCGCCAUGCCUUCAGAGCAAAGUGGAUUAAAAACUUCAAGAAUGACUGAAGUGAAGGUGUUUGCCAGCUCUGUGGAAUUGGGGGUUUGGCGUCAGAACUUCAGGUUGACAAAGAUCAAAACGUCUGGUGACCAUGGUGGGGCAAGGAUAUGGUGACAUGGGCCGUUUUCAUCAUUACUGGUGGGAAGGUAAUGGUACAAUUUCUACGAAGAGCAAUUUAGCAUAUUCUUCUAAAGGUCAGCACUCACAUACCCUUUGUUAUGGGUCGAAUUGUGUCCCCCCACCAAAUUCACAUGUUGAAGUCCUAAUCCCCAGUACCUCAGAAUGUGACCCUAUUUGGAAAUCAGGACAUUACGGAUGGAAUUAGUUAAGAUGAGGUCACACCGGAGUGGAGAGGGGUCCUCAUCCAACAUGACUGUUAUCCUUAUAAAAGGAGAAAUGUGGACACACACACACACACACACAAGGAGAACACCAUGUGAACAUCAUAGACACACACACACAAGGAGAACGCCAUGUGAACAUCAUAGACACACACACACAAGGAGAACGCCAUGUGAACAUCAUAGACACACACACACAAGGAGAACGCCAUGUGAACAUCAUAGACACACACACACAAGGAGAACGCCAUGUGAACAUCAUAGACACACACACACAAGGAGAACGCCAUGUGAACAUCAAGGCUGAGAUGAGGUGAUGCAGCUAGAAGCCAAGGGACACCAAAAGUGCCAGCAAAGCACCAGGAGCCACGGAAGAGACCUGGAACAGAUCCUCCCCGACAGCUCUCAGAAGGAGCCAACCCGGCCCCACGUGAUCUCAGACUUCCAGCCUCCAGAACCGUGACAUAAUAAAUUUCUGUUGCUCAACCA